RNAcentral lists this ribosomal RNA (253 nucleotides) under uncultured prokaryote. Its description in RNAcentral is "partial 16S ribosomal RNA". It matches the Rfam family "Bacterial small subunit ribosomal RNA", at positions 524 to 776 of the family's 1533-position model. The record is from RNAcentral.
UACGAGAGGCCCAAACGUUAUUCGGAAUUACUGGGCUUAAAGAGUUCGUAGGCGGCGCAGAAAGUAGGGUGUGAAAGCCCUCGGCUCAACCGAGGAAUUGCGCUCUAAACUACUGUGCUCGAGGAACCUAGAGGUGAGCAGAACAGAUGGUGGAGCGGUGAAAUGCGUAGAUAUCUGGAGGAACACCGGUGGCGAAGGCGGCAUCCUGGACCAAUAUUGACGCUGAGGAGCGAAAGCCAGGGGAGCAAACGGG